CUCUCUGAGUAUAGUGAUAUUUAAAAAGUGUAAUUAAACUUCAGACACAAGAUUAAACGUUCCUUAAAGAUAAAAUGUGUUUCUUUUCACCAAGUCAGAAUAUGGACAUGUUUUAAUAUAUAGUGACGUGACAUACAGCGCGCGUGCUUCCACAGCUGACACACCGCGCGCACAGUAUACUGACAAGAAAGGAAAUACAUUUUGUGAAACUUUCUAUUUCGUAAGGAGUUAUGAACGUGAAAUAAUGACACAGACUGGCUACACCAUCUCAUCUGCCGCAGAUACUGUAUCAGGAGGACAGCGCGUUUGUUUGAGGCACUUUUCACUUCAACUGUGUCUGACAGGAGAAUUAGCUUUUCUGAGCUUACUAGCCGUUGAGAGUUGCCAUGGCAACCGCGGACACGUCAGCUGCUGGAGAGGAGAGGACACGUCUGACACUUUCUCUGUUUCUCGUCAGUUAUACCAAAGAAAAAUUCAACAACUGCGACAGAUUGGUUAACCGUUGAGAGUUACCAUGGCAACCGCGGACACUGCUGGAGAGGAGAGGACACGUCUGACACUUUCUCUGUUUCUCGUCAGUUAUACCAAAGAAAAGUUCAACAACUGCGACAGAUCGUUUGUUUAUUUCUAAUAAGGAGCUGGAGGCCGUGGAGAAGCAGAUCCGUGACCUCGUGGAGAAGCAGGCUCAGCUGAGAGAGCAGAGAGCCGUGCUGGAAACAUUCAGGGGUUGACGCUCAUAAGUCCAGGGUAAGUAUACAGCACGCUGCUAACUCUCCCACCCCCUCUACUCUGUGUGGUUCUCUGCACAGGCCCGGUGUACCCAGGACGCAAUCUUCCCAGAUGUCCUUCACCCUGUGCCACAGCGUAAGACAUGAGCCAGGUCCUGGGCGACAACCUCUCUCCCCCCGCUGCCUCCGGUCUUCGUGAUCUCCACUGGAAACCUAUUUGCUCCACUUCACGAGACAGAACACGACUCUGUGUUCGUCAGAGACUCCAUUGUCCGGCACGUUCGUGCUAUGUAAGCUGAAGGUAAUGUGCACACUCACUGUUUCCCUGGUGCUUGUGUUCUUGAUAUUUCUGCACAGAUACCCGCGAUCCUGAAGGGUGACGAGAGCAUCGGAGCGGUCGUGCUUCACGAUACCAAGCUGCGGCAGACGCAGACACUAAAGAGGGACUUCAGGAGCCUGAUCGAGACGGUGUGCAGCAUAUCGCCUGUACGAUGAUCAUCAUGUCAGGACCUCUUCCCAUGUAUCAACGAGGACAUGAAAGGUUCAGUAGACUUUUUGCUCUAAAUGAAUGGUUAUUGUCAUGGUGUAAAGAACACAAACUGCUCUCUGUUAAUAAUUGGAAUCUUUUCUGGGAGCGACCUAGGCUUUUUCGCUCUGAUGGCCUGCACCCCAGCAGAGUCGGAGCAGAACUGCUCUCGGACAACAUCUCCAGAACUCUACACUCCAUUGACUAGGCAGUUUGUGAAGAAAGAUAAUCAAAAGAUGUGACAAACUGUACAGAAGUCAGUUCCAGAUCCACCCUCCACACCAGACCUCUCUCUCAUAUGGACUGCUGUCUACUAGCAUACUUUGGUUGAUGCAGAUAUUACUCAGGCACAUGAACACUUGAAUAUUGCAAGCAUAGAGAAAGUAAGAAUUACUGAAGAUUUAAGAAUUUAAUGUUAAUUGCUUAAACAUUAUAUAUACUGUUUUAGCAAUUAACAUUAAUAGUUUUUUUGGUGUCCAAAGCACCUAAAAGCCAAUUCACACCGCCAUACUCCAACAGUUCAAAAAAAAACAAAAUAAGCAUGUUUUUUUAAAUAGUUUUUUUGGCAGUGUGAACUGGCCAUAAUGAUGUAUGUUAGGUGUGAGAUUCAUUAAACCUGAUUUGCUAGAAUACAUCUGCUCAUAAGAUAUUGCAUAUGAUUUUCAGUUAAUUGUUUGUAGUGGUUUGGUUAAGGGUGUGAUUAGCUGAUGUAUUAUUGUGGGAGCAUGUGAUUAGUUGAUGAAUUGUGUGCAUGGUUAAUGAUGGCUCUUAAGUAUUUAAAUGCAAAGUGCCUACUAAGACUUGAAUAUUUGUGCAUAAUGUUUUGACCCUGGAUGCUAACAGAAGGAUAUAGAUAUUUAAAUAUAUGGACAUUUAUUUAUUAUUAAUAUAUUUUAAUCUAUCUAUGCUUCUGUAUGGGCUGAAUGCUUUCAUUCACAUUUUGCUGUAUAUCCUAUGUUUUUUAUUAAUAAUUUGGGUGU
Long non-coding RNA from Cyprinus carpio (common carp), 2234 nucleotides. RefSeq lists it as uncharacterized. The record is from RefSeq and is a predicted model, not a curated record. Lineage: Eukaryota; Metazoa; Chordata; Actinopteri; Cypriniformes; Cyprinidae. The transcript is spliced from 5 exons.